Non-coding RNA from Monodelphis domestica (gray short-tailed opossum), 625 nucleotides. Lineage: Eukaryota; Metazoa; Chordata; Mammalia; Didelphimorphia; Didelphidae. The record is from RefSeq and is a predicted model, not a curated record.
GCAACAACCAUAUUGAUGCUUUCAUCACAAUAGUAUAUCUUCAUUGAAUAACACAAUACUUCCCUCUCAAAAUACUUAGGCUAAUUGCAUAUGAGCAUGUUGAAGAUAAGGAUUAAUACACUGAAUGGUUAAUUAACAAAUGUUAAGUCCCAAAAUAAACCAAAUUAGAUGCUUUUUAAAAAUUUUCAAGGGCAAAUAACAAAUUAUAGCCAAUUUUGUGAAUAAAAUUCCCCUCAACAAAAUGCUAUAUUUUGAAUUUAUUUUCCCAGAAGAAUAGUGACAGCUCCAUCACUUAAGCUAUUUAGUACUAUUUGGAUAUUUUUCUACUUGAAGGAACAAAUUUUGUCUUCAGGGAAGAGUGGCUCAGAGGAAAGGCAAUGAAUAAGAAGAGAGUAAGUUCUUGGCCCUAAGUACCACCUAUAAUGCGGAAGAAAUUAAGGACAUACAAAUAAAGAAUAAAAGAAAAAACUUAUCAGGAGAUAUGUGACACGUGCAAAUGGAUGGAAAUAGAAAGACAAGGUGCUUCAUGGAAUCACAAUGCCACAAAGAUUUCUAAAAGUGCAAGCGUUACAUAACAUUAAGGUUGCUAUGGAAAUUGGGUGAAUUAAAGUCCUUUUAGAGGAAU